UCGAGGAUCUUUCGCAAUGGGCGCAAGCCUGACGAAGCGACGCUGUGUGAGUGAUGAAGGCCUUCGGGUUGUAAAGCUCUUUCGCUUGGGAACAAGAAAGAACUGUGAAUAACAGUUCGAUUUGAGGGUACCAGGUAAAGAAGUACCGGCUAACUCCGUGCCAGCAGCUGCGGUAAUACGGAGGGUACAAGCAUUAAUCGGAAUUACUGGGCGUAAAGGGCGCGUAGGCUGAUUUGUAAGUCGGAUGUGAAAUUCCAAAACUCAAUUUUGGAGCUGCAUUUGAAACUACAAGUCUUGAGGUAUGGCGGAGAAAGCGGAAUUCCACGUGUAGCGGUGAAAUGCGUAGAUAUGUGGAAGAACACCGGUGGCGAAAGCGGCUUUCUAGCUAUGUCCUGACGCUGAGGCGCGAGAGCAAGGGGAGCAAACAGG
This 429-nucleotide ribosomal RNA is filed under the name uncultured bacterium. Its description in RNAcentral is "bacterial SSU rRNA". It matches the Rfam family "Bacterial small subunit ribosomal RNA", at positions 355 to 776 of the family's 1533-position model. The record is from RNAcentral.